AGCCCUGUAGUACAGCGGUCAAGUAUGCUAGACUCUGGAUCUGGUGACCCAGGUUCGAAUCCUGGCAGGGCUA
RNAcentral lists this transfer RNA (73 nucleotides) under Nanobdellota archaeon. RNAcentral describes it as "tRNA-Gln". It matches the Rfam family "tRNA". From Rfam's summary of the family: Transfer RNA (tRNA) molecules are approximately 80 nucleotides in length. Their secondary structure includes four short double-helical elements and three loops (D, anti-codon, and T loops). The record is from RNAcentral. Lineage: Archaea; Nanobdellati; Nanobdellota.